Molecule: ribosomal RNA, 257 nt
Filed under: Herennia multipuncta
Lineage: Eukaryota; Metazoa; Arthropoda; Arachnida; Araneae; Nephilidae
Description: partial 12S ribosomal RNA
Source: RNAcentral
AACCUGCUAAGUAAUCGAUAAUCCACGUUAAAUUUCACUUUUAUUUAUAUUUUAUAUACCUCCAUCUCAAGAAUUUAUUUUUAUAAUAUUAUUCACAAAAGAUAACUAGCAAGUUAGGUAAAGGUGUAGACAACAUAAAAGAUAUAGUGGGUUACUUUAAAUAUUAUUUAAGGAAAAAUAAUAAAAAUUAUUUUAUAAAAAGGAUUUAUAAGUAAUGUUUUAAUAAUAUUAAAAUUUGAAAAUAAAAAUAAAUGUGC